UCCGGCUUAUCACCGGCAGUCCCUCUAGAGUGCCCAACUAAAUGAUGGCAACUAAAGGCAAGGGUUGCGCUCGUUGCGGGACUUAACCCAACAUCUCACGACACGAGCUGACGACAGCCAUGCAGCACCUGUGUUACGGUUCCCUUUCGGGCACACCUCCAUCUCUGGAGGCUUCCGUACAUGUCAAGGGUAGGUAAGGUUUUUCGCGUUGCAUCGAAUUAAUCCACAUAAUCCACCGCUUGUGCGGGUCCCCGUCAAUUCCUUUGAGUUUCGGUCUUGCGACCGUACUCCCCAGGCGGAGGACUUAGCGCGUUAGCUACGACACUGAAAGGCUUACCCCUCCAACGUCUAGUCCUCAUCGUUUAUGGCGUGGACUAC
Molecule: unclassified non-coding RNA, 378 nt
Filed under: uncultured Gammaproteobacteria bacterium
Lineage: Bacteria; Pseudomonadati; Pseudomonadota; Gammaproteobacteria
Description: contains 16S-23S intergenic spacer region
Source: RNAcentral